RNAcentral lists this ribosomal RNA (429 nucleotides) under Triticum aestivum (bread wheat). RNAcentral describes it as "partial small subunit ribosomal RNA". Lineage: Eukaryota; Viridiplantae; Streptophyta; Magnoliopsida; Poales; Poaceae. The record is from RNAcentral.
AUGUGCGUACCUAAGAAGAAAGGCGGUAUGGGCUUCAGGGACAUUCAUUGUUUUAAUCUUGCACUUUUGGCAAAACAAGCAUGGCGCCUCAUUGACAAUCCAGACUCACUAUGUGCAAUUAUUUUAAGAGCCAAGUACUUCCCUGAUGGAGAUCUUAUGAGUGCUACUUUAAAGCAAAAAUCUUCAUAUACUUGGCAGAGUAUAAUGGUUGGUGUGGACACACUGAAACGUGGGUAUAUUUGGAGAAUUGGAGAUGGUGAAAAGGUGAAUAUAUGGGAGGACUCGUGGAUUCCUCAGUCACCGACAAGAAAGGUCCUAACUAUCCGAGGUAAUAAUUUAAUCACCCGAGUCUGUGAUCUCAUCGACCCAGCAACUGGAGACUGGGACUCACAAUUGGUUAAUCAAACGUUCUGGGAAGUGGAUGUCUAG